RNAcentral lists this ribosomal RNA (1020 nucleotides) under Triticum aestivum (bread wheat). RNAcentral describes it as "partial small subunit ribosomal RNA". Lineage: Eukaryota; Viridiplantae; Streptophyta; Magnoliopsida; Poales; Poaceae. The record is from RNAcentral.
AUGGCGGCGGAAGAAGCAGCCGCCUCCGCCGCCGCCACCAACUUCGAGGUGGACCUGGGCCACCUCCUCGCCUACGACCCCUCGCACCACCUCGCCGCCGCCGCCGCCUCCUCCAGGGCGGAGCUGCGGGACGAGUGCCUGCGGAAGGCCACGGAGCUGGCGCAGGCCGUCGCCGACGCCCUCUUCUCGCUGCCGGCCACCGAGGGCCGCGACGGCCCCGUCGUCCGCCUCCCGCCGCCCGCCAACCGCCUGCCCCGCGAGAAGCAUUUACCAAGGCCGAAGCCUCCUACCAAGUGGGAGCAGUUUGCGAAAUCGAAAGGUAUUAUCAAGCACAAGAAGAACAAGCGUGCAUGGGAUGAGCAAACUAAUUCCUGGAAGCGGACUUACGGCUAUGAUCGUGUUAAUGAUGACAGAGACGUUCCCAUCAUUGAAGCCAAAUUGACAGAUGAGCCUGGUGUUGAUCCUUUUGCUCAAAGAAGGGAAGAGAAGAAGGGCAGGGUAGAUAAGCAAGAAAAAAACAGACUUGGGAAUUUGAAGAAUGCUGCAAAAGUUGGUGCUCUGCCAAGUCAUAUACAGCUUGCUGCCACGUCCGUGCCCAUCACAGGAACUAAAGCUGAUCUGCCUAGAAAAGCUAAGAAGGAAGAUCUCGAGAAUGUUGCUGGUAUGGCUUCGGCUGCAACAGCUAGCGGUGGAAAGUUUGACAAAAAGUUGCCUGGCGAGAAACCUCUUAAGAAGGCUGGCAAAAAUAGAAAGUUCCUCCCUGUUGUUGAAGGGAAAGGAAUGGGCAACCUGGAGAAACAGCAAAAUGACAAGAUCCUGAACAGCCUGCUGGCCAAAAACUUCGAGGAGCCCUUGGAUGUCAGCAAGGCAAGCCUCCACGAUUCAGUAUAUGUUACCUUCUCUAUUUGUCUAGCCCAGCAUCUAACAGCAGCUUUGAUACCAGGCAAUCACGAUGUACAAGGUGAAGAAGGACAACAAGAGGAGGAAGGACAAACAAUCAUCAUCAUCCGGAUCAAAUAA